GUCGGCGAAGACAUCGGUGUGGUGGGAUAUCGAGAACUGCCAGGUUCCUCGGUCCUGCGACCCCCAUCUGAUCGCGCAGAACAUCAGCAGCGCGCUGGCGCAGAUGGACUAUAAAGGGCGGGUCAACAUCUCCGCCUACGGCGACACUAACAAGAUCCCGCCCAACGUUCAGCAUGCCCUCAAUAGCACGGGGAUCUCCCUCAACCAUGUCCCCGCAGGUGUCAAAGAUGCAAGCGAUAAAAAAAUCUUGGUUGACAUGUUGUUCU
RNAcentral lists this unclassified non-coding RNA (266 nucleotides) under Hevea brasiliensis (rubber tree). The record is from RNAcentral. Lineage: Eukaryota; Viridiplantae; Streptophyta; Magnoliopsida; Malpighiales; Euphorbiaceae.